Molecule: long non-coding RNA, 1731 nt
Organism: Oenanthe melanoleuca
Lineage: Eukaryota; Metazoa; Chordata; Aves; Passeriformes; Muscicapidae
Exons: 2
Source: RefSeq, a predicted model, not a curated record
GGAGCAAAGUCCUCCCUCUACCUGGUGUCUGCUGUGAUACCCCACUGAAAGGAGAGAACCAGCCUCCUAGCAGCCCUGCCCUUCUUUGCAGGGGCCAGAGGGAUGGAUUUGCACCUGGAAUAGUCACUAAUAGUCUUCAUGGGAGAGAGGAAGAAAACCUACCUGCUACUCAGUCAGACAAGUCCUUAUCAAGGCAAAAAGGAGAGUAAGGAAGAGUGCUUUUGUUUAGACUCUGGAUUGCUCCAGGGCAGGAAGAUGUGUGUGCUGACUGUACAAACAAAGCAAUAACCCAGCCACUCAAGGUGUGGGACUCAUGGAUCAGUGAGGAGAAACACUGAUAAGUAGCUAUCUCGAUUAGAACUUCCUCCUUCACUGCAUCCCUUCUCCUUUACAGCUUUUAAUGUGUUUUGAUCCUCUGCUGAUCUCUCAUUCUCCUCCUUCCCAAGGGCCCUAAGCAGUACCACUCAGAAUGACAGAAUACUCUGGUUUGGAAGGAACCCACAGGAUCAUCCAUGUUGAACUCCUGGCCCUGCACAGGGCAGCCUCAAGAAUCAUAUCAUGUGCCUCUUAGCAAGCUCUAAUCUGCAUAUGGAGAGGUGAUGUGGAAGAAAGGUGCUGAUGACCAUGACAUCUGACAUUAUUCUAUGGCUUUAGUAGACCUCAAGUAUCAUCAAAGUUUGUGUAGACCUUCCUCCAUUCAGUGCUCUACCCUGGGCAUACCUCUGGUCUGAGCAGGCUCAGAUGUUGCAUCAAUGUCCUCUAGUAAUGUGCAAACCCUUUUUACACCAGUUAAUUGAGUCUAACUAUCCCUCUUGGCAGAUGAGUGAGUGCCAGCCCCACUUUACACCUAGGAAGAGUGGGAGAGGAAAGUGGCUUGACCCAAGUUUAAUUGGCAGCCAGGUGAGCAAUGCCAAAUACCCUGUCUGCCUGCACCCAGCCCUGGGCAUGCAGAAAUGGGGAAGUUCCUUGCAGAACAGGAGAGGGGUUAAGUGUUGGGCUGACAUUCUGUGUUAGGUAUUAUAUUGCUCAUUGGGUGCCAGGUAAUGUGCAGAGAAAUGCAUGAGGGGAGUGGGCUCAGGGGCACAACUGCAUUGCCAAGCAGAAUCACAGUGCUAGUGGCAUGGGAGUCAGGGAACAGGCUUGCACUGGCAGCAGGACAGCCUGGGCAGUCUGAUGGCAAAAGGGAUGCUGGCCUCCUUUCAGCUGCUCAGUCUGCCUGCAUCAGUGCCCUGCUUGGUAUUUCCUUCCUUCUCCUCUAAAGAAAAGACAAGAUAAUUUGAAGGGAAAAGCCAAGACUUUGCCCUCUGGAGGGAUUCCAGGGCUGCAGAUGGACCGGGCUGUUCGCAGUGCUGCUGGAAAGCAAUUACAUUUGCAGUUCAGGGGAAGGGAAGAGGAGGAGGGAGAGUCACUGAACUGACAGCAGGGAUAAGAAGGUAGCUCAUUAGCACAUCAUCUUUUCUGCACCCUUCUGUGUGGGAGCAGAUCUCCAUAUGAUGACAUUCAGAGUCUGGCAGGAAUGUCAUCCUGGAACUAGUAGGAAUUUUUCUGCAAGAAAGUGUGAGCAAGUAGGUUUAAAGAGAUCAAAAGUGAGUUCCUCUGUGGUCCAAAGAACAUAAGGGUUCAUCCUUCUAGGUUGUUCUCAAACUUCACCACCAGCUGCUGACCUGGAAUAUGAAGACAAACUGUGGAAGUAAUGAGGUAUUCACUAAAACAAAAAAAAAAAAUACAAAC